CCAAAUUUGGCCCAACAAGCCCAUGCCCUAUCCUCCUUUUUGGCAGCCCUCCCAUUUCCCCCUUCCAGUCGAAAAUUAGUGCCCUUUUGGGGCUGUGACCCCUGCGCUUCUUCUCCCCCAUGAACCUCUUCACCUUCCUUCUCUAGAUCCUUCUAUGGUAGGCUAUUUAAAGAGCCCUUGGUCUGUGGCUGUAGAAUAGACGAAAAUUGCUUAGUGUUCUUCCUUUGUGUGGAGGUGCUACCGGUGAAGGUGUAAGGCUUGUUGGCCGAUUGUGGUGCCGGCGAGAGCAACGUCCCCUUUGUGAUUCUUCGUGGCUUAGUGUGUGCGUGAUCGAGAGGAAGAGAGCUGUACCUGAGCCGAGAAGAUCGACGCCCCUUGUUCCUCUCUUUGUGUGUUUUUUCUUGCAGGUUGUCUAGGCUGCUGCUACCUCGUUGCUGCGCCGCUGUUGCUGCUGCGUUGUUGCCGGAGGACAGCCGCCGCUGCUGCUGUCCCUGCCGCCGCCGUCCCUGCUGCUGUUCCGCCGCUGUGUUGCCGCUGCUUUGCUGCCCCGGAGAAGGAAGCCUUCAACACGACGACGGGGUCGAUACUCAACAGUGGUAUCAGAGCCACGGUUGACCUCGUCGCGCAUUGGUAGGUCGGGGUCCUGACCUUAGGAUCCCGCUCUGGUAAAGCGGUUUAAACCUCUCUUGUUUUUCAAUUUCUAGUUGCUGCCUUCUGGUGCAGUUUAGGCUUGGUGCUUAUCUGCUGGUAGAUAUCUAGGAUUCGUGUGUCGAAUUCUUUUUUCUGUUUUAAUUUUUUUUUCGCUGUUACUAUUCACGUGAAUAGUGAUUUCGUCGAAUAGUGUUUUUGGUCUCUUAUUUUUUACUUCCGCUGUAAACUCUGUGGUUGUCAAUCUUUGUGAGUCUUUGUGAUUAUUUGCUUCGUGUUGCGAUGUCUUCUUUGGCAAAUUAUGGUUUAGCUCCUUUUAAUGGUAAAACGGACUUCGGUUUUUGGCAGCAGAAAAUGGAAUGUAUUUUAAUUCAACAAAAUGUUUAUCAAGUAAUUGAUGAUUCGUAUGAUGAAGAUGUUGAUGAGAAAAAGAAAACUCAAUUGAAUCGUCUUGCCUUGUCUGCUAUUGUUCUCAACUUGUCUGAGUGUGUUCUUAGAAAAGUAGGGAGAAUGACUUCUGCUAAAGAACUAUGGUCUAAGUUAGAGGAGUUGUACACUGGAACCUCGUUGCCGUCUAAGAUAUUUUUGAUUGAAAGGUUUUUCCGUUUCAAACUUGAUUUGAAUAAGAAAAUUGAUGAAAAUGUUGAUGAAUUCACUAAGUUAGUUCAAGAUAUAAAACUGACGGGUGAUAAACAUAUUGAUGAGUAUGCUCCGUAUGCUCUUUUAAAUGCUAUUCCUGACUCUUACAGUGAUGUUAAAUCUGCUAUUAAGUAUGGUAGAGAUAAUGUGACGCUUGACACUGUUGUGAGUGCUUUAAAGAAUAAGGAAUUAGAUUUAAAUUCUAAUAUUUGUGUCCAAGAAUCGGACAAAGUCAUGCAUGUUAGGGGUGAAAAGAGAUUUAAUGAUAAGUCUAAUCAUAGAUAUAAGCCUAGGAAGUGCUAUAACUGUGGUGAAACUGGUCACUAUAUUAAGGAUUGUCCUCACCCUAAGAAAAAACAAGAUGUAGAGCAUGCUAAUGUAAUUGUUAAUGAAACCAAUAGUGAUGUGUUCUAAGGUGGAGCUCUUUCUUAAUGCCUUAGUGUUGUUCUUUGUGAUUGUUUAGGCUUUGUGGCUUUGUGAGACUUCGUUGGUUAGUGCCUUAAUGACUAUGUGAGUCUUUGUGGCUUAGUGUCUUUGUGAUUGAUUAGUAGCUUUGUGUCUAUGUGGCUUUGUGAGUUUUACUUUGUGAUGACCGUUUGUGUCGCAUGUUAUCUUCGUGAUCAUGUGUACUUUGUGAUCUGUGCUAGCUCUUUGUGGCCCUUUGUGCUAGACUAACUUUGUGUUAGUGUGCUUCGUGCUUGGUGGUUGUCUUUCUCUUGUUUGUGUUUUGCAGGAAUUGACUUGGUUAGUUUACCCGUUGACCUUUGUGGUCUUGUGUUUCCCUGUUAUUUCUUUGUGAUUUAACAGGGGGCUCGGCGAUGAUGAUUAUGGUACAGCUUCCUCUUUGAUGCACACAAUACCGUGAUUGGGCCAAAGGUGGAGAUGUUGUUAGUUGGCCCAAUUUUGGCCCAACAAGCCCAUGCCCCUAUCCUCCUUAUUUUGGCAGCCCUCUCAUUUCCCCCCUUCCAGUCGAAAAUUAGUGCCCUUUUGGGCUGUGACCCUGCGCUUCUUCUCCCCCAUGAACCUCUUCACCUUCCUUCUCUAGAUCCUUCUUUGGUAGGCUAUUUAAAGAGCCCUUGGUCUGUGGCUGUAGUAGGAGACGAAAAUUGCUUAGUGUUCUUCCUUUGUGUGGAGGUGCUACCGGUGAAGGUGUAAGGCUUGUUGGCCGAUUGUGGUGCCGGCGAGAGCAACGUCCCCUUUGUGAUUCUUCGUGGCUUAGUGUGUGCGUGAUCGAGAGGAGAGAGCUGUACCUGAGCCGAGAAGAUCGACGCCCCUUGUUCCUCUCUUUGUGUGUUUUUCCUUGCAGGUUGUCGAGGCUGCUGCUACCNGCUAGUGCAUCCUGCAUAGCACUUCCAGCCAUGCAUGAUGCCUUCCAUGUGCAUUAUGAAGGUAUCAACCUUUGUUGUGUAUAGUGAAAACAAACAAUGAAUGGGCAAAACAAGUGUUCAUGCCGGGAAUGUUAUAUAAAUGGUAUCCCUUGCAGGCAUGCUUGCGCUGCCAUCAGAUUCAUGGAUCGUGAUCCCACUGAUUUUGUUUCUGGUUACUUCACUAUGGCUACCUAUCUUUCGGGGUAUGAAUUUGGUAUCAAACCUAUGUUGGGAACAAGAUGUGGCCUGAAGUGAAGAGCGAUGUUGUUAAUCUACCACCUAAAACAAGAAUGGCUGGAUGUCCUAAGAAAAAAAGGGUUCGAGCACCUCAGGAGAAGGAAGGGAGGAUGACCAGACAUGUAGUUGUGAUGUCGUGCAGCAAGUGCAAGCAGACAGAACAUAACAAAAGAAAUGCUCUAAUCCAGCCAUGGAAAACCAUACAAGGUACACCACCAUCUGUCGAUAUAGUACGAGACGAAAAUUGCUUAGUGUUCUUCCUUUGUGUGGAGGUGCUACCGGUGAAGGUGUAAGGCUUGUUGGCCGAUUGUGGUGCCGGCGAGAGCAACGUCCCCUUUGUGAUUCUUCGUGGCUUAGUGUGUGCGUGAUCGAGAGGAAGAGAGCUGUACCUGAGCCGAGAAGAUCGACGCCCCUUGUUCCUCUCUUUGUUGUGUUUUCCUUGUCAGGUUGUCGAGGCUGCUGCUACCUCGUUGCUGCGCCGCUGUGCAGCUGCUGUUUUGCGGCUUUGUAGCUGCGCUGUGGCUGCCCAAAGUCGAAGGAAGCCUUCAACAACGACGACGAGGGUCGAUACUCAACAGUGGUAUCAGAGCCACGGUUGACCUCGUCGUCGCAUUGGUAAGUCGGGGUCCUGACCUUAGGAUCCCGCUCUGGUAAAGCGGCUUAAACCUCUCUUGUUUUUCAAUUUCUAGUUGCUGCCAUCUGGUGCAGUUUAGGCUUGGUGCUUAUCUGCUGGUAGAUAUCUAGGAUUCGUGUGUCGAAUUCUGUUUUCUGAUUUAAUUAUUUUUUCGCUGUUACUAUUCACGUGAAUAGUGAUUUCGUGAAUAGUGUUUUUGGUCUCUUAUUUUUUUCCGCUGUAAACUCUGUGGUUGUCAAUCUUUGUGAGUCUUUGUGAUUAUUUGCUUCGUGUUGCGAUGUCUUCUUUGGUCAAAUUUAUGGUUUAGCUCCUUUUAAUGGUAAAACGGACUUCGGUUUUUGGCAGCAGAAAAUGGAAUGUAUUUUAAUUCAACAAAAUGUUUAUCAAGUAAUUGAUGAUUCGUAUGAUGAAGAUGUUGAUGAGAAAAAGAAAACUCAAUUGAAUCGUCUUGCCUUGUCUGCUAUUGUUCUCAACUUGUCUGAGUGUGUUCUUAGAAAAGUAGGGAGAAUGACUUCUGCUAAAGAACUAUGGUCUAAGUUAGAGGAGUUGUACACUGGAACCUCGUUGCCGUCUAAGAUAUUUUUGAUUGAAAGGUUUUUCCGUUUCAAACUUGAUUUGAAUAAGAAAAUUGAUGAAAAUGUUGAUGAAUUCACUAAGUUAGUUCAAGAUAUAAAACUGACGGGUGAUAAACAUAUUGAUGAGUAUGCUCCGUAUGCUCUUUUAAAUGCUAUUCCUGACUCUUACAGUGAUGUUAAAUCUGCUAUUAAGUAUGGUAGAGAUAAUGUGACGCUUGACACUGUUGUGAGUGCUUUAAAGAAUAAGGAAUUAGAUUUAAAUUCUAAUAUUUGUGUUCAAGAACCGGACAAAGUCAUGCAUGUUAGGGGUGAAAAGAGAUUUAAUGAUAAGUCUAAUCAUAGAUAUAAGCCUAGGAAGUGCUAUAACUGUGGUGAAACUGGUCACUAUAUUAAGGAUUGUCCUCACCCUAAGAAAAACAAGAUGUAGAGCAUGCUAAUGUAAUUGGUAAUGAAACCAAUAGUGAUGUGUUCUAAGGUGGAGCUCUUUCUUAAUGCCUUAGUGUUGUUCUUUGUGAUUGUUUAGGCUUUGUGGCUUUGUGAGACUUCGUUGGUUAGUGCCUUAAUGACUAUGUGAGUCUUUGUGGCUUAGUGUCUUUGUGAUUGAUUAGUAGCUUUGUGUCUAUGUGGCUUUGUGAGUUUUACUUUGUGAUGACCGUUUGUGUCGCAUGUUAUCUUCGUGAUCAUGUGUACUUUGUGAUCUGUGCUAGCUCUUUGUGGCCCUUUGUGCUAGACUAACUUUGUGUUAGUGUGCUUCGUGCUUGGUGGUUGUCUUUCUCUUGUUUGUGUUUUGCAGGAAUUGACUUGGUUAGUUUACCCGUUGACCUUUGUGGUCUUGUGUUUCCCUGUUAUUUCUUUGUGAUUUAACAGGGGGCUCGGCGAUGAUGAUUUUGGUACAGCUUCCUCUUUGAUGCACACAAUACCGUGAUUGGGCCAACGGUGGAGAUGUUGUUAGUUGGCCCAAAUUUGGCCCAACAAGCCCAUGCCCUAUCCUCCUUAUUUUGGCAGCCCUCCCAUUUCCCCCCCUUCCAGUCGAAAAUUAGUGCCCUUUUGGGGCUGUGACCCCUGCGCUUCUUCUCCCCCAUGAACCUCUUCACCUUCCUUCUCUAGAUCCUUCUAUGGUAGGCUAUUUAAAGAUCCCUUGGUCUGUGGCUGUAGUAUAGACGAAAAUUGCUUAGUGUUCUUCCUUUGUGUGGAGGUGCUACCGGUGAAGGUGUAAGGCUUGUUGGCCGAUUGUGGUGCCGGCGAGAGCAACGUCCCCUUUGUGAUUCUCCGUGGCUUAGUGUGUGCGUGAUCGAGAGGAAGAGAGCUGUACCUGAGCCGAGAAGAUCGACGCCCCUUGUUCCUCUCUUUGUGUGUUUUUCCUUGCAGGUUGUCGAGGCUGCUGCUACCUCGUUGCUGCGCCGCUGUUGCUGCUGCGUUGUUGCCGGAGGACAGCCGCCGCUGCUGCUGCCCCUGCCGCCGCCGUCCCUGCUGCUGUUCCGCCGCUGUGUUGCCGCUGCUUUGCUGCCCCGGAGAAG
RNAcentral lists this long non-coding RNA (5617 nucleotides) under Salvia miltiorrhiza (redroot sage). RNAcentral describes it as "long non-coding RNA (SMIL_LNC000762)". The record is from RNAcentral. Lineage: Eukaryota; Viridiplantae; Streptophyta; Magnoliopsida; Lamiales; Lamiaceae.